Molecule: ribosomal RNA, 260 nt
Filed under: uncultured bacterium
Lineage: Bacteria
Description: partial 16S ribosomal RNA
Rfam family: Bacterial small subunit ribosomal RNA
Source: RNAcentral
CGAGAAGCGAACCUGCGAAGGCAAGCGGAUCUCUUAAAGCCGUUCUCAGUUCGGACUGUAGGCUGCAACUCGCCUACACGAAGCUGGAAUCGCUAGUAAUCGCGGAUCAGCACGCCGCGGUGAAUACGUUCCCGGGCCUUGUACACACCGCCCGUCACACCAUGAGAGUCUGUAACACCUAAAGCCGGUGGGAUAACCUUUAUAGGAGUCAGCCGUCUAAGGUAGGACAGAUGAUUAGGGUGAAGUCGUAACAAGGUAAC